AUUGAACGCUGGCGGCAUGCCUUACACAUGCAAGUCGAACGGCAGCACGGGUGCUUGCACCUGGUGGCGAGUGGCGAACGGGUGAGUAAUACAUCGGAACGUACCUUAUCGUGGGGGAUAACGCAGCGAAAGCUGUGCUAAUACCGCAUACGCCCUGAGGGGGAAGGCGGGGGAUCGAAAGACCUCGCGCGAUUAGAGCGGCCGAUGCCUGAUUAGCCAGUUGGUGAGGUAAAGGCUCACCAAGGCAACGAUCAGUAGCUGGCCUGAGAGGACGAUCAGCCACACUGGGACUGAGACACGGCCCAGACUCCUACGGGAGGCAGCAGUGGGGAAUUUUGGACAAUGGGGGCAACCCUGAUCCAGCAAUGCCGCGUGAGUGAAGAAGGCCUUCGGGUUGUAAAGCUCUUUUGUCAGGGAAGAAACAGCAGCUCUAACACAGUUUGCGAAUGACGGUACCUGAAGAAUAAGCACCGGCUAACUACGUGCCAGCCGCCGCCGUAA
This 501-nucleotide ribosomal RNA is filed under the name uncultured bacterium. RNAcentral describes it as "partial 16S ribosomal RNA". It matches the Rfam family "Bacterial small subunit ribosomal RNA", at positions 30 to 523 of the family's 1533-position model. The record is from RNAcentral.